This 13234-nucleotide long non-coding RNA is filed under the name Nicotiana tabacum (common tobacco). RNAcentral describes it as "long non-coding RNA (NTAB_LNC003773)". Lineage: Eukaryota; Viridiplantae; Streptophyta; Magnoliopsida; Solanales; Solanaceae. The record is from RNAcentral.
AAAAAUCCAUUAGAUCAUUAGACCCCUAAGACCCUUGGAAAAUACAGAGCAACGACGCUCCAUAUCUGCUCUCUUUUGAAAUGAAAAAUCCAUCCCAAUUUGCUCUCAGGUCCCUCACAUAAUCCUUUCUCCCUCUCCUUCCUCUCUGAUUUCACUAACAUAUACAUGCAAAAAGCCUUAGCAGCAACUGGAAUUUGAGAUUCCAAAUUUGGCGAAAACUCUCGAAAAACAUAAUCGAAAACCAAAAGAAAAAGAUUUGAAAAGCUAGUCUGAAUUCUGUUGUUUUUUUCAAUAAUUCAUAGUUGCUUGAGCUGAAUUUGGACUUAAAUUGAAGUUGUGCAUGUGUUUGAGUGGAAAACAAAGUUCUAAAAAGAAACAAAAGAAAAAGGGGAAAGUGAAAUUUCAAGGGGAAAAUCUGAAAUCAACUCGAUGGCUAGCGAGUUUUGAGAACCAAACGCUUCCUGGGUUUCUAAAAAUUGCUGAGUUCGAAAAUCUGCUGUUGUUGUAUUCAUGUAGCAGCUGAGCUCCACUCUGUCUCCUUCUUAGCCUUAUUUGGCCUCACAAGUUUGUUUUAAAUACUAGGUAUGUACACUUCCAGUUUCUUUGAUUGUUUCUAGGUCGAAUGAAUGAAAUAUUGAUUUGUUUUGGCUCCAAUUUUUUCUGUUGUUUGGUUGAAUCUGUUGCCUUACUUUGGAUAAGCAUAUUGAAUGAUGAAUCUAUGUUUAUUAGUUUGAGUAAGAAGAAGUUUAAUUUUGAUGAAGGGUCAUGACGACGGGUAAUAAAAACGUGAAAUCAGUGUAUAUAAACUCAGCUAUAUAAAUUUGAUUAGAGAACGAUUACAUCUAAAGCAAGUAGAGUAAUAAUUUGGCAUAUUGAGUUGGAUUCCAAGGAUCGGCUUCGUGCCUGAUGUUUGAAUUUGAUUGUCUAAGAUAUUUGAUUUUCUACUGAUUAGGUUCUUAAAAUCAAAAGCUGUCAUUUUUGUCAUUGUCUUUGUUAUCUUACCCCAAAAAUCUAGCCAUGACAAGAGCCAACAACCAUCCUCUAUCUGUGAGCAAACUAGUCCAAAAUGUUAUCCCUUUUCCACUUGAAAACACCACAAAGUCAGCCUCCCAAAAGGCCAUGAAAAUCAGCCUUAAACUCACUUGGAAACUUCAUUGAAACUAGCAACAAAGAGAUCUAUUUCCUCCACCAAAACAACUACUCAAACUGCCAUGAAAAUACCUCUGUCCCAUCAAAGAACGCAGCCAGCAAAGCUAAAGAAAAACAACUGAAAUCAACCACAAAAACGACCCCGAAACAGCUCGAAAACCCAGCUCUUUUCCCCGUGAAACAGUCCAAAACUCAGCUGAAAAAACGUAGCAAAGUAAUCAUGAAAACUGAGCUAAAAAACCAGCCAAAAAUCACCUCAAAACUGCUGAAAAACAGUCCCAAAACCACCCCUAUUUUAAUUCUUUUGCUCUUGUUCAUUUGAAUAGUUCUAGGUAUGGUUUAGCCAUUUAUUAACAUUUAUUAUUUUGUGUUUUGUUAGUUUUGUUAUUCUGUUUGGAUGUGAAGAUGUCGGAAAGUUGGCAUGAAUUUGACAAGUUGGUUGUGAUGAUUAUUUUUAAAUUUGAGGUACUUUUACUAAUUAAUGAGUUAUUUAGUUAGUAUUUAAGCUUGUUUGGCCAUUUGAUUGUCUUAGAAAACCAGAAGAUUAGAUUAAGCUUAAAAAGUAUUAUUGUAUUUUAGUUUGGACCAAUUUGAUUAAAUGAAUGGUUGGGUAAAAUAAAUGUUAUGCCAUGCCAAAUAAAACCUCUAAGUCCAUGGCCCUCGCAAAGUUGAAAAUGCGUAGCUGCUUUAGGCGCGUAAUUUAAAAUUACUUUCCUAAACUCGGGUGUGCAUUUCAUGUGACCCAAAUCCAAAUCUUAGCAAUGUUAAAUAAAAUGUGUCUCGGACUGCGGGUACAUUUCAUGUGGCGUGGUCCAAGGACGUGGUUUAGAUGACAUUGAAAUCUUCCUUAAAACAAUUAAAAGUGGUUUAAAGCUAAAAUGCACAUAGGUCUAAAAGUGUUUUUUAAAAUCAAAUAAUUGAGCCAAAAAUAACAGUUGAGCGACCGUGCUAGAACCACGGAACUCGGGAAUGCCUAACACCUUCUCCCAGGUUAACAGAAUUCCUUACCCAGAUUUCUGUGCUCGCAGACUAUAAAACAGAGUCAAUCAUUUCCUAUAUUCGGGAUUCUAAACCGGUGACUUAGGACACCAUAAAUUAUCCCAAGUGGCGACUCUGAAUCUGAUAAAUAAAUAAUCCCGUUUCGAUUGUCACUUUAAAUUGGAAAAAACUCCCUUAUAUACUCCCUUCCGAGAUAUAGGGUAAAAAGGAGGUGUGACAAGUGUAAACACUUAACUAUCCCUCGCCGUGGGUGGUGAUAUCUUCAUCGGGCCUGGGAACCACCACGCGCUUGAAAGGAGGAAGGUUUGUCAACCUUAAAAUUGGCAAUUACCGAGCACCCACCAGGGAUGAACGUGUUCAAAAUGGGUUCCUCGACAAUAGAACAUGGAACGGUCUCCUCGACAACCGAAAGCGAUGCAGAAGGAGUUUCUUUUUGGGGAAUGGUUUUUGAAGUCUUCGCCAUUUUUCUUAAAUGGAGGGGAAAGAAGAAGAGGAAGUUAGAGCAUCACACUUGAUGAUUUGGGGGUGAAGACGAGCAAAAGUUCUCAUAAAGGAUUUCAAGAAAUCAAAGUAUAAGUGCUAUAAAGUAGAUAAAUUUCUAAGGAACAACAAUAGAGAUUAUGCAUGUAAAGUUUGAAUGAACAAAGAAGGGCGUACUUAUAGUUUUCAAAUGAAGGUUCGCAUCUAGUAGCCGACUGGUAACUGACAAUCAUUGAAUACCAUUAAGACUUGACUAACGCGUCAUUUUUUUUAUUUUGUCGUUUCUGUCACAGGAUAUCGAGGUGAGAAUCGGGAGCUCAUGUCGUUUCUUAUCGUCUACUCUCCAAAAAACAAGGGGACUAUCUGUGUACGUUAGAAAUCGAGCUCGUAUAUGAUAUGGUAGAUUGGGCUCGGAACAUGAGGUAUUGACUCACACCUUACUUGUCUUUACUUUCAUGUGUCAACUUGUCAGGCAUCCACAUGUCGUUCAUCAAUUUUACCCCAUACAGAUAGUCAGCCUACUUUUCGGUAAUAACACUUCGUGUUACCAGAAAGUAGAUAAGGAUUUUUUUCUUGAUGGAAAAGGUUUUGAAUAGUUUUUGACACUUGAAAGGACGUAUGUCUCCUCGUAUUUAAUGAGUCGAACACGUGUUAUACUAUGAUUUGGUAAAUAUUUUUGUCAGUUUUUAAGGUAACGAUGACCAUGAAUUCUACUUCCUAUAAACUUUUCCACUACUCAUCCUUUUUAUUUUUCACUUUUACAAACUUUUCUUCUUUGAAUCACCCUUAGAGUUUUUCUGUAAAUCUCUCUUUCUUAGUAAAAUUUUCUUAACCAAAUUCUCUAUCACCAUAUCUUUCACUUUUUCUGUCCCCAAAAACUCUGGCCUUCACAUCAGUGGUGGCCCUUCUAAAAAGAAUAAAAUCAAGGAAGCCGAUGCCGGUCCUCCUACUACCAACACAAUUAUCCCAUCCCAAUUAAAUUCUGAAACGGAUCUCCAAGUGCAAAAGAACCUAUCAACCCCAAGAAAUAGAAAUUAUCCUGAUAGUAGAUAUCCUUCUUAUAUUCGCCCUACUAGUAUUCCGAUUAUGAAAGCAGAUUUCGAUUGGAAAACAUUAAAAUCUUAGCCCCAAUAAAGUGGAAGGGGUUACCUUUAACAAACGGGGGUUCAUGUAUAUCUACACGUAUCCUUCCACUUUAAGAAUGUGCCAAAAAAUUAAUCUCAAUAUCUUAGAAUUUUGUCACAAGCCCAUCAAUUUGACGUAUGGUGGCUUGCCUCGGGGUAUUGUGCUCCCAAGACGGAGAAAGCCUCACUCUUGCCCAUUUUAUCAACCUCUACUCCCCAAAGAAUUUUAUCAACCUCUACUCCCCAAAGAAUUUUAUCAACCCUCACCCAUCCACCAAACCUUAUUUACUAGUGUUGAUGAUGAUAAUGAUUGUGGUUGGAUGGAACGGUUCAUUGUCAUUACUACUAGGGACAUCCUUCUAGCAACAACACCUUCUAUCCCAGAAUCUUGGAACUUUGCUCGUAAGUUUUGUAGAUAGGUUUUUUCUAUUGCAUUAAAGAAAAUUCCCUCCUUUACUAACUUUUAUUUCUCUUAUUUAAGCUACCCGUUGGGUUCCAUCAUCGGCUAAGAACCUGACUCAAUGGGUACAAAAUAUUCUAGAUGCCUCUACACCGGAUUCCCAUAAGGGGAAAGAAAUUUCUCCAAAAUUUAAUUGGAAGGCCAAGAAUCAUGAUAAGGAAAAGUUCCUUUUUCCCUUUCUAAUCUUCAACAUGAAUUUGAUGGCUCUUUACUAACUCCCUCCUUCGUAAUACACAGGUCUUACAACUGGGUCUUUUAUUUUCCUGUUCUUGAGGUUUCCCAUGACCCAAUGGUGGCCCAUCAACGGAUGUAAGAAUCCUUAAUCGGAAGAGGGCUCGUGAUGCUGCUUUUGCUUCCGAUAAAGGCCCAUCUUCCCUGAGUCCCCAGUCUAAGGAGAAAAAAUCAAAAUGAAAACGUACCCCCAAAGAUGAGACUUAGGAGAAGCCUUCAACAAAAUAAGUUUCAAUUGGACCAACCACAAUUAUCACGACCCAAUGCCCGUUUAGGUCGUGAUGGCACCCAACACUGUUGCUAGGCAAGCCAACAGUCAACAAACUAGUGAUUUCCCAUUUUUAUUAGUUUUUCAAGUAAAUAAAUUUCCUUAAUUUAAAAUAUUUAAUGAAUAAUAGAUUUAAAGUAAUCAAAAUGAAAGCAGCUAAAUGCAAUCAUAACCGUAGAAAUACAACCCAAAAUCAUAAAUCUACUAGCGUGUGCCAAGACCCGGUGUCACAUGUGUAUGAGCACUCUAGUAAAAUAUAUAAAAGAAUACUAGUCUACUGUCUAAAAUGAAAUAGACAGAAAAUAUAACAAAAGAAAGACUUCGGCUGCUGCAAAACGGCUCGGAAGGGCAGCUCACUGUAUAGUCUUGUACCAGAAGUCAAGUGUGUGCACCAGACUGAUAACCACAUGUAUGUGCCUCAGAUCCUGCACAUUUUAAGUGCAGAAGUGUAGCGUGAGUACAUAAACAACAUAUACCCAGUAAUUAUCCAGUCUAACCUCGAAGAAGUAGUGACGAGGAAUCAACUUUGACACUUACUAUGGGCUAACAAUGAUAUAUCGAAAUGAUAUACUAAGCAUUGGUUACAUGAAUAAUACUGAAACUCAAUAAUAGUAAAUAUUAAAUGCUCAUUUCAUAAAUAUUAAGUCCCAAGUUUAUUUUCAUCAUUUAACAGUUUGUAUCUCAAGGCAUUUAAGCAAUAUCAACCAUGAAUAGUUCCAAAGAUUUAUCAUGCGCAAAUUAUGCUGAGGUCGAACGACCCAAUCCAACAUAAUAUUUAAACUCUACACUGCCGAGGAUCGACUGGCACGAACCAUAGAUGCAUCUAUCCGCUAUUGAGGCAUUCGACCUACUCCAUAAAUGGAAAACGCUAUGAAGAAACACAAAUUUUCAACAACAGUCAAAAUUCCUCAUUUAUAAAUUCAAGUAUUUGAAAUUUAACCUUCUACAAUUCUUUUAUCAACUUCCAUAUGACUCAAAUAAUUAAGUUAUCAAGUAGGAGCAAACAUUACAAACAAUAGCAUGAUAUGGGUCCUAGACUACUAGGACAAUAACACAAUUAGUAGCUACGUACGGACUCUCGCCACCUCGUAUAUACGUAGCCCCCACAAAUUAGACACACAUAUUUAUUUAAUUCACCUAUGGGGUUAAUUCCCUCUUAAAAGGUUAGAAAAGAGACUUACCUCAUCUCAAGGCCUACUUUCCGGUCCAAAGUUGUGCUCAAACCCCCAAAUUUGGUGCCAAACGACCCAAAACUAGUCAAAUAUUAUAUAAAAUAAUCAAUUUAUGCUCAAAAGUUCAUAUCCCAACUAUUAAAGUGAUUAUCCAACUUUAAAUGUAGGAUUCCUAAAAUUUACCCCCAGGCCAACGUGCCCGGAUUCGGAAAUUUUUUGAAGAAAGUUGUUACUCAUAACCCCAUGAACUCAAAUAUAUGAUUUUUACUAAAUUCCAUAACUAAUUUCGUGGUCAAAACUCAUUUUUAUCAAAAACCUAGAGUUUCAUCUAAACUCUUAAUUUUCACCAAUUUUUACAUGUUAAUCUACUCAUAAUCUAUGUAUUUAACUUAUGUUGUGUGGAAAUCACUUACCUCAAGGUGCUAGGUGAAACCCCCCUUCCAAGAGCUCCAAAAAUCGCCUAGGAGUUGAAAGAAAAUGAGCUAAAUGGUCUAAGUCUUGUAAUUAAUAAGUUGUGCACAGGCCUCAUAUGUGCGACAUCUGGUUCGCAAAUGCGACAAACCCAUCACAAAUGCGAACCUGGGCUUAGGUUGCCAUCGCAAAUGCGACCAAGGAGUCACAAAUGCAAACUCUGAUGAGAUCGCAAAUGCGACCAAUGUGUCCUAAAUGCAAACACUACCUAGGUCGGUCUUCUUUGCAAUUGUGAAGCCCUUCUCGCAAAUGCGAGGUUUGCAUUUGCGAGACCUGCAACUGCUGACAAGAAUCACCAGAAACUGAUGUGUUUUUCAUCCUUCCGAACGUCGAAACUCACCCGAGCCCUUGGGGCUCCACACCGAACACCCACACAAGUCUAACAACAUCAUACAAACUUGCUCGCACGAUCGGAACACUGAAAUAACAUCAAAAACCAUGAAUUGGUCGCCAAAAUGCAUGGUUUAGCUCAUGAACUCAAAACUUCUAUAAACACUUCCGCUCGUCCGAUUCCUAUCAAAUCAACUCGGAAUGAUGCCAAAUUUUGCGUGCAAGUCUUAAAUGACAUUACAGACCUACUCCAACUUUCGGAAGUAGAAUUCGAACCCGAUAUCAACAAGUCCACACUAGAUCAAACUUUCCAAAAACUUCAAAUUUCUAACUUUCCCCAAUUGACCUCGAGAUGACCUACAGACCUCCGAAUCCACUUCCGGACGCGCUCCAAAGUCCAGAACCACCAUAAGAAGCUAUUCCUAGGCUCGAAAUCCCAAACGCAUGUCUAGAAUGUAAAAAUCUACUUCAACCCAAACUUAUGAAAUUUACUCAAAUGGCAACUUUCACUAUUAGGUGCAAAAACGCUCUUGGGUCGUCCAAAACCCGAUCAGAACAUACGUCCAAGUCUGAAAUAAACAUAUGAACCUAUUGGAACCGUCAAAUCUUAAUUCCGAGGUCGUUUACUCAAAAUGUUGAUCGAAGCCAAACUUAGCCUUUUAAGCCAACUUUAAGGAAUCAAGUGUUCCGAUUUUAACCCGAACCUUUCCAAAUCCCGAACUAACCAUCCCCGCAAGUCAUAAAACAGUAAAAGCAUAUACGAAAAGUCUUAUUUAGGUGAAUGAGGUUCUAGAAAGCAAAACAACCGGUGGGGUAGUUACAUUCUCUACCUCUUAAACAAACGUUCGUCCUAGAAAGGGUUUAGAAUCAUACCCGGAGUGUUGAAUAAGUGUGGAUAUCUGUUCCGCAUGUCCUCCUCGGACUCCUAGGUCUCCUCCUCGACUGGUUGGCCCCUCCACUGAACCUUUACCGUGGAAAUCCUCUUGGAUCUCAACUUGCGAUCCUGUCUAGCAACAAUAGCAACUGGCUCCUCCUCAUAACCUAGGCUCUCAUCUAAAUAAAUCAUGCUGAAGUCUAAAACAUGUGACAAAUCGGUGUGAUACCUCUGGAGCAUAGACACGUGGAACACCGAAUGAACUCUCAAUAGGCUGAGAGGUAAAGCAAGCUCAUAAGCAACCUCCCCAACUCGUUUCAACACCUUAAAUGGUCCUAUAAACUUUGGGCUCAACUUGUCCUUCUUUCUGAAUCUCAUAAUACCCUUCAUCGGCAAGACUUUCAAGAGAACCUUAUCUCCUACCAUAAACGAUAAAUCGUGUGCCUUUUGAUCCGCGUAACUCUUCUGUCUGGACUGUGUUGUGCGAAGCCGCUCCUGAAUCAACCUUACCUUCUCCAAGGAAUCCUUUACCAAAUCACUACCGUAAAACUUAGCCUCGUCGAGCUCAAACCACCCAAUGGGAGAACAACAUCGCAGACCAUAUAGAGCCUCAAAUGGAGCCAUCUCGAUGCUCGGCUGAUAAAUAUUGUUGUAAGCAAACUCGGCCAGAGGUAAGAUCGAUCCCACUGUCCUCCUAAGUUAAUCACACAUGCUUUGAGAAUGUACUCUAAGAUCUAAACUGUCUGCUCCAACUGCUCGUCGGUCUAUGGAUGAAAUGCAGUGCUGAGCUCUAUACGGGUCCCCAACUCACUCUCUACAGCUCUCCAGAAAUGCAAAGUGAACUGAUGGCCACUAUCUGAUAUGAUGGAAACAGACACACCAUUCAACCGGAGUAUCUCCUGAAUAUAAAUCUGGGCCAACCUCUCUAAAGUAUACGUAGUCACAACUGGAAUGAAGUGUGCCGAAUUGGUCAACCUGUCAACAAUGACCCAAACUGAAUCAAACUUCCGCAAGGUAUAGUCAUCUGCUGGAAUAGGCCACCUGGACUCUGGUGCUCAUACUUAACCUGCUGGAAAUUUAGGCACCUAGCUAGAUACUCAACUAUAUCUUUCUUCAUCCGCCACCACCAGAAAUGUUGUCUCAGGUCACGAUACAUCUUCGUAGAACCUGGAUAAAUGGAAUACCGAGAACUGUGUGCCUCAUGUAGAAUCCUCCCUCUCAAGACAUCGACAUUAGGAACACAUAGACAACCCUGGUGUCGUAGAACACCAUCCUCGACGAUAGAACCUCCUUGGUACCACCCUGUAGUACCGUCUCUAUGGAACCAUCAAAUACAGAUCAUCAAACUGUCGAGCCUUGAUCUGCUCUAAUAGUGAAGACUGGGCAACGACUUAUGCAAGAACUCGGAUGGGCUCUGAAAUGUCCAACCUCAUAAGUUUGUUAGCCAAAGACUGAAUGUCCAAAGCUAAUGGCCUCUCCUCUGCUGAAAUGAAUGCCAAGCAACCCAUACUCUCUGAUUUUCUGCUCAAGGCAUCCACUACUACAUUGGCCUUGCCCGGAUGAUAAAGAAUGGUGAUGUUAUAAUCCUUUGGUAACUCAAGCCAUCUGCGCUACCUCAAGUUGAGAUCCCUUUGCUUGAACAAAUGCUGCAAGCUACGAUAAUCAGCGUAAACCACAUAGGAAACCCCAUAAAGAUAAUGCCUCCAAAUCUUAAGAGCCUGAAUAAUCGCGGCUAACUCUAAAUCGUGCACAAGGUAAUUUUUCUCAUGAAUCUUCAGCUAAUGUGAAUCAUAUGCAAUGACUCGCCCCUCCUGCAUCAAUACAUAACCCAAGUCAAUUCAUGAAGCAUCACAAUACACUUUAUACAUCCCCAAAUCGGAAGGCAACACUAGAACCGAUGAUGUAGUCAAAACUGUCUUGAGCUUCUAAAAGCUCAUCUCACAAUCGUGGGACCAACAAUAUAGAGCACCCUUCUGGGUCAAUCUGGUCAAAGGUGCUGUAAUGGAUGAGAAGCCCUCCACAAAUCGGCGAUAAUAACCUGCUAACCCCAAGAAAUUCCUGAUCUCAGUCGCCGAAGUGGGACGAGGCCAGCUCUGAACUACCUCAAUCUUCUUGGGAUCCACCUUAAUACCCUCGCCUGAUACAACAUGCCCCAAGAAUGCUACAGAAUCUAACCAAAACUCACACUUGGAGAACUUAGCAUAUAGCUUCUGUUCCGGCAAUGUUUGAAGAACCACUCUCAAAUGUUGCUCGUGCUCCUCCAUGCUGCAUGAGUAACCCAAAAUGUCAUCAAUGAAGACAAUGACAAACGAAUCAAUAUAAGGCCUGAACACUGUUGAUACCCAAUUUUUCCCUCAUAUAUUUUCAACAUGCAUAUAUAUUUUCAAAAAUAGUGCACAUGCAUUUACAAACAUGCACAAGUAUGUCUAUAAUUUUUUCUAUAAUUUUAAAGGCUUUCAACCAAUUUAUUUCUGUAUUUUUACUAUACAAAUAUCCAAUAGUUAUCCCUCAUAGUAUUUUUAUGAUGAUUUAAUCAUCUAGAUUCAUCAUUUAUGCCCAAAUAGUGCUUAAAUAUUUAAAUUACAUUUUUUAUAAUUACAUUUGCAUUUUUAAGCUAGAAUUGCACAUUUUGCAACAAUAGCCCAUGCAUAUGCAUAAUUAUAUUAUCUAUACAGAAAAUGAAUUUGUAUUUUUUAUAAUAUUAAUAAUUAUUUAGAAUCAUUUUAUUCAUAAAAAUCAUUUUUAUCAUUUAUUAACUAUUUUUACAAAUUAUUUUAUCAAUUAAUUGGGUAUUUAACAAAUAGCCUCUUUUAAUUUGGUUUAAUUUUGGACCUUAGCCCAAAUUGUUACCCCCAACCCAAUUAAAAUCAUAGCCCAAUACCCUGACCCAAUUUUUAAACCUGCUCAACCCCUCAGAUCAAAUCCUGGCCGUUGAUCUCAAAAGAUCAACAGUCCAAGAUCAUUUUUCUAUUUUAAUUAACCCCUAACAUCCUAACCCUAAUCAUUUUCUUCCGCUCUGCCGCGCUUGAAUCCCUCCUCCUCUCUUCUUUCUCAAACUCUCCCCUAACCCUAGCCCGUCGUCACUGGAAGCCCUUCAAUUCAUGGGGUUUUCCUUUGAUUUUAGGCCCCAUCCGGCCUCCUAUCUCUACUGGCUAUUCGAUUUCUUUGUUGUUUGAUGGAAUAUCAAAGAGAUUCAACACAGAUUUGGCUUCAAAUCUUCAUUUUCUUGGCGAACCUACCUGUGUUCAUCUCUAUGUUUGUGAGUGUUGUUAUCUUCAUGUUUAUGGAUUAAACCUCUAGUUCCAAAUUGGAUUUUUCUCACCUCAGUCCAUUUUUUAAAACCAUAGUUUCUUUCUACUCGAGUCUGUUAAGAUCUUUGUACAUCUGAGAUGAUUAUAAGUUUAUCUGAUAUUUCUCUUUAAAAAUCUUCUGUUUUUCCUUAUUAUUAACCGAUUUUAGUGUUCCUCUAAAAUUAUGGUUUCAUCUCUUUACGUUUCUGCAAAAGUUCUAAAAUUUUUAAGUGUUUAACUAUGGUUCUCUUUACUUGUUCGACUGAUUUUUAUGUCUAUAUUCUAAUCCCUAAGUUUUUUUUUUAAAAUUAUUUCACUGUUUGUUUUGAUAUUUGCCCGUUAUUCCUUGGCCCUAUCAAUUAACAGAGAUUAACUGAUUCUUAUUUGCCUAAUUAGGGUUCGAAAUAAUAUUUUUCUGUUAAAAUUGGUAUUUCUCUGCGAUUUUACUUAUUCUUUCCUUAUUUGUGACUAAUAAAUGAUACUACUUGCCUUAAUUAUGUUACUAGCCUAAUUUAUGGGAUUUGAUUGUUUUAACCGACCCCUAGAUGGUGUCUGAUUUAUUUUUCUACCUUAUUAAACCUCUAACUUGGCUGUUAAUUGAUUCUCCCUAAUUUAAGGAUAUUUUUCGGAUUUUGUUAUAUUAAUUAAUUGAGUUUAACCUUAAAAACUGGUUAAUUUGAUUUGCAUACCUUUUUUGUGAACUCUUAAUUUUCUUUGCCUUAUUUUUUUUACUCUGCCGAAUGCUAUAUAAACCGCCCUAUUCUGAUUUUUAAAACAGACGAACACAUAUGGAAAAUUAUAGAAACACCUACACACAUAAACUCUUACUCUUACUCACACACUCACACCCGUAGUUCUUUCUGUUACUUCUAUUUGCUAUACUCUCUAGUCGGCUGAAAGCCAAGGCUAAACUCUUGGAUUCUACUUGCCUUCACCUUCCCGUUUGGUAUCUCCUUAAGCGGUAUGCCUCCAUUUCUAUUAUCAUUCUAUAUUCUAUAUAGUUAAACUUCAACAUGCUUCUGUUUGCCCCCAUCUUUUCCUGUUUAUUGCUCUCUUAACCAGUAUGACCUAUUUCUUGUUAACUUGUCUUGUCUUACAUGUUAGUAUGGCUAGUAUACUUGAGCAUAUUCCUAUUUUAUCCAUGACACUUGUUUACCUGUUUCUCCACUAGCAUGCCCCAAUUCCUGUCUUGUUUUUAUGGGCUGGUAAUUUACCAUAGCAUGUUCCUGAUCAAUUCAUGGUUUCUGUGUACUUCUUUCAAGAAUAAUGUGCUUUAAAUUCCUGCUACCUUUUCUGUAUGGCUGUCUGAUUAGUCAUUUGACUUCAACAUGUUUCUCUUUACUAAAUACAUGUCUAUAUGAUUCCACCUAGUAAUAGUUAAUAGACUAAGUCAACUUUGGCAAUGUGAAACCUUGUUUGACUCAAUUGUGACUAUGUUCUGUCUAUGAUUUCAAUGUUCCUAUUUUGUUGUGACUGUUUAACUACUGGUAACUAUAUCUGAAUCAAUCUGCUGAAAUAUGGUUCUGUUCUGUUUGCAACUUGUUUCUAUUCACUUCUGAAAAUAAACUAUUUUUUCAUAAAACUAUCCCCUACCUUUGUAUACUAUUUUCAAAAUCUUACUCUUAGCUAUCUAGGGUCCUGCCACCCCUAGUGUGAGCACUGCCUAGGGUCAAUGAGACUCCUCCGAACUCUGACACACUAGGGCUGGCCUUCCAAACUCUUUACAAAACUGUUUCUUUGAAAAGGUUAUGGUGUGAGCAUUGCCCGGGGACCCUGAGGCCCUUGUGAACUUUGACACACCAGAAGCCCAUUUUGUGUAUUGUGGACUACCUGUGGACAUCAGACUUGCUUGCUUGAAGGCCUGAUUUCCAGGUUGACAUUGGGCCUGCCAAGACUCUCUAUAGUAUAAUGAUUUGUCAUUAUAUUGGUCUGUAAUAAUGAAAUAAUCCUUGUAAAAACAGAUAUGGGGUUAUGAGUAAAAGCAAGGGAGGAAUCUUUAUAUAUACCUUUUAUCAAAUUCGGGUAGAAAUCAUGCAUAUAGGUUGCUGUUGUGAUUCUUUAUGUGUAUGUCAUUAGAAGCCAUGCCUAUAGUACGUAUCUCAUUACUUGUAAUCCUGAUUUUUCACACUUUGCAUCCUAGAAAUCCUACUUCUAGGUCAUUUAUCAAUUCUGCAUCAAAGAACCAUAUUUCCAAAAUCUCUUUGUGUGCAUUAGAGAUCAUGUUUCUAGGAUAUUCUUUAUUGAACUGGCUUGGCAACUUGUUAACGCCUUUACUCACCUAGAUAUCAUGCCUAUAGGGAAUGUAUAAAAUCAGUCUUAAUACUUAGAUAUCAUGCCUAUAGGGAAUAAUGUUUGUAACCCAUUUCAGCACUUAGAAAGCAUGCCU